GCCAGGCGUGAUGGUGCACACCUGUAAUCCCAGCAAUUUGGGAGGCUGAGGCAGGAGAAUCAUAAAUUCAAGGCCAGCCUGGGUAACUCAAUGAAGUGCUAAGCAACUUAGUGAGACCCUGUCUCAA
RNAcentral lists this small RNA (127 nucleotides) under Marmota monax (woodchuck). The record is from RNAcentral. Lineage: Eukaryota; Metazoa; Chordata; Mammalia; Rodentia; Sciuridae.